RNAcentral lists this long non-coding RNA (553 nucleotides) under Bos taurus (domestic cattle). Its description in RNAcentral is "long non-coding RNA NONBTAT025118". The record is from RNAcentral. Lineage: Eukaryota; Metazoa; Chordata; Mammalia; Artiodactyla; Bovidae.
AGAUUACAUAGAGGGAUUUCACUCAAGCUUGAGAAAAUUCUUGAAGGGACCAUCUGUGGAGGAGACAAUCAUAGGAUGAAGUGGGGAGGUGAACAAAAUUUACAUAAAUAAAUAGCAGCGUUGGACCAGAGGGCUCUGUAGAGAGACGCGUGGUGUCACGUCUGCACAGAUGCUCUGUUAGUCCUGCGUCUCCUCUGGCUGGCUUCUGUUGAGAGGGUUAAAUUUACGGAGCUGGAUAAAUAACCACAGCGAGAAACCAUGUAGUUGUGCCUUAGCAAUCACUUCGCCCACGUUUUAUGGAAUUCAGCUUCUCAACCCGCUCACAGAAAGCUGGACCCUGUCUGCGGGACCUGAUUGCAUAUAGGGGUGGGCCAUUUAAGGUCUCUGCCCAGGGUCUUCAUUAGCACAGUACCAAGAGCCUGCAGUCUUUCAGAAUUUAAGAAAUUAUACACUACAGAAUCACAGCACCGCAGGGGGCAACCUGUGGCCUUAUCUAAUUUCUAAUCUGGGACAUAGCAGCUGUCUUGCUAUUAAUAUCCCAAAGUGGUAAAAA